RNAcentral lists this ribosomal RNA (253 nucleotides) under uncultured bacterium. Its description in RNAcentral is "partial 16S ribosomal RNA". It matches the Rfam family "Bacterial small subunit ribosomal RNA", at positions 524 to 776 of the family's 1533-position model. The record is from RNAcentral.
UGCAGGGGGGGCAAGCGUUGUUCGGAAUUACUGGGCGUAAAGGGCUCGUAGGUGGCCAACUAAGUCAGACGUGAAAUCCCUCAGCUUAACUGGGGAACUGCGUCUGAUACUGGAUGGCUUGAGUUUGGGAGAGGGAUGCGGAAUUCCAGGUGUAGCGGUGAAAUGCGUAGAUAUCUGGAGGAACACCGGUGGCGAAGGCGGCAUCCUGGACCAACACUGACACUGAGGAGCGAAAGCCAGGGGAGCAAACGGG